CAGCAGCCGCGGGAAAACGAAGGGGGCUAGCGUUGCUCGGAAUGACUGGGCGUAAAGGGCGCGUAGGCGGUUUAUACAGUCAGAUGUGAAAUUCCUGGGCUCAACCUGGGGACUGCAUUUGAUACGUAUGGACUUGAGUGGAGAAGAGGGUCGUGGAAUUUCCAGUGCAGAGGUGAAAUUCGUAGAUAUUGGAAAGAACACCGGUGGCGAAGGCGGCGACCUGGUCUUUAACUGACGCUGAGGCGCGAAAGCGUGGGGAGCAAACAGGAUUAGAUACCCGAGUAGUCCCUGUCUCUUAUAC
RNAcentral lists this ribosomal RNA (301 nucleotides) under uncultured bacterium. RNAcentral's name for it is "partial 16S ribosomal RNA". It matches the Rfam family "Bacterial small subunit ribosomal RNA", at positions 509 to 807 of the family's 1533-position model. The record is from RNAcentral.